Molecule: ribosomal RNA, 443 nt
Filed under: uncultured bacterium
Lineage: Bacteria
Description: partial 16S ribosomal RNA
Rfam family: Bacterial small subunit ribosomal RNA
Source: RNAcentral
CCUACGGGAGGCAGCAGUGGGGAAUAUUGGGCAAUGGGCGCAAGCCUGACCCAGCAACGCCGCGUGAAGGAAGAAGGCUUUCGGGUUGUAAACUUCUUUUAUUGAGGAAGAAAAAAAUGACGGUACUCUAUGAAUCAGCCACUGCUAACUACGUGCCAGCAGCCGCGGUAAUACGUAGGUGGCAAGCGUUAUCCGGAUUUACUGGGUGUAAGGGGCGUGUAGGCGGGACUGCAAGUCAGAUGUGAACACCAUGGGCUCAACCCCUGGCCUGCAUUGGAAACUGUAGGGCUUGAGUGAAGGAGAGGCAGGUGGAAUUCCUGGUGUAGCGGUGAAAUGCGUAGAUAUACGGAGGAACACCAGUGGCGAAGGCGGCCUGCUGGACAUUAACUGACGCUGAGGCUCGAAAGCGUGGGGAGCAAACAGGAUUAGAUACCCGUGUAGUC